RNAcentral lists this ribosomal RNA (497 nucleotides) under uncultured bacterium. RNAcentral's name for it is "partial 16S ribosomal RNA". It matches the Rfam family "Bacterial small subunit ribosomal RNA", at positions 28 to 507 of the family's 1533-position model. The record is from RNAcentral.
GAUGAACGCUGGCGGCGUGCCUAAUACAUGCAAGUCGAGCGAACGGACGAGGAGCUUGCGGCGCUGAUGUUAGCGGCGGACGGGUGUGUAACACGUGUAUAACCUACCUAUAUGACGGGUAUAACUUCGGGAAACCGGAGCUAAUACCGGAGGAUAUUUUGAACCGUAGGGGUCAAAAGUGAAAUACGGUCGUGCGGUCAGUUCUAGAUGGAUCUGCGCUGCAUUGGCUAGUAGGUAAGCUAACGGCUUAUCAAGGCAACGAUGCAUAGCCGACGUGAGAGAGUGAUAGCCCACACGGGAGCUGAGCCACCGUCCCUACUCCUACGGGAGGCAGCAGUCGGGAACCUUCCGCAGUGGGCGAAAACAUGACGGAGCGGGGCCGCGUGAGUGACGACGGUCUUCGGAUCGUAAAACUCUGUUACUAGUGGAAAACAUAUGUGUACGUAAAUGUGCACAUAUUGACGGUAACUAAUCAGAAAGCACCGGCUAACUACGUG